This 112-nucleotide ribosomal RNA is filed under the name Rhizomucor miehei. Its description in RNAcentral is "5.8S ribosomal RNA". It matches the Rfam family "5.8S ribosomal RNA", at positions 1 to 112 of the family's 154-position model. From Rfam's summary of the family: 5.8S ribosomal RNA (5.8S rRNA) is a component of the large subunit of the eukaryotic ribosome. It is transcribed by RNA polymerase I as part of the 45S precursor that also contains 18S and 28S rRNA. The record is from RNAcentral. Lineage: Eukaryota; Fungi; Mucoromycota; Mucoromycetes; Mucorales; Lichtheimiaceae.
CAACUUUAAGCAAUGGAUCACUUGGUUCUCGCAUCGAUGAAGAGCGUAGCAAAUUGCGAAAAGUAAUGCGAUCUGCAGCCUUUGCGAAUCAUCGAAUUCUCGAACGCAUCUU